This is a non-coding RNA of Microcebus murinus (gray mouse lemur), 2216 nucleotides long. NCBI's taxonomy places the organism in Eukaryota, Metazoa, Chordata, Mammalia, Primates, Cheirogaleidae. The record is from RefSeq and is a predicted model, not a curated record.
GUCGCCCAGCCGUGGCGGUUGCUAGAGCGCCGGCCCCUGGGAGUGCUGUGUUCGUGGGAGCUGUUGCUAUUUAUUCAGACACUGAGAGACAUCAUGACUCUACCCGUGGGAUCUCCGAAGACAAAUCCGCCCAGGAGCUCCCCGACUUCCUGUCGAACCUUCAAACCGGCCUCUGUUCCUCUUAUUCAUCGCCCUGCUCAGUGUCUCAAGCGAGGGGGCGAAGAAUGGAUGAAACGCAGCCAGCGCCCUGCUUGCCCAGCGGCACAGCCGGGCGAGAGCUUGGUCCACCGCGAGGAAGGAGCGCUUGGUCCCUACACCCGCGUGCGACUGUGGCCACACUCGGGGGCUACAGGGACCCAGAGGGGACUUUCCUCGUUGAGGUGAAGACGCCCAUCAGAGCAGAUAGCAAAGGAUCCACAGGAAAGCCGAGGCUGACCAUUCAGCUGCAGCGCGGAUGGGACAGCAGGCCCUCAGAGAGGGGCCGACGGGGAAGGAGAGGGCAGCUGGAGACAGCAGUGUGAGUGACCUGCCAGCACCGGAGCCCGACCAGGACGGACAGAGGAGCAUAGUCGAGGACUCGUGAGGACCACGAGGGGUCAGAACGCGGGUUUGAAGGUUGCACUGGAGACUGGUGCUAGCAGGAGACGAAGAGGAGAGAACGAAGAGGCCGGACAAAGAGAAGCCAAAUGGACCUGCGGCCUGUUGACCAAGGCUGUUGUCUGUGCGGGCGGUUUCGUCACGAGAGGAGGUUUGUGUGUGGCCCAGGGGCAGACCUAACGCCGGAGGCUUAAAGGAGCCUGUGGCCAAAUACAGCCAGCCCGACCCAGCUGUAUGUCCCAAUAACCAGCCUAGAAGGCAGCCCAGCAUCUCUGAACCUCAAUGCCAAAGUCCCAGGAGAGAGAUGCUGGUUGGCCCAGCUUGAAUCAGCGUCCACUCCUCGUCCAACCAGCUGUCGUCAGGGGAGCAGAGAGGUAGGGAACAAAUAUGCCCCUGAGGCUCGGCCAGGCGAGAGGUCUCAGAAAAGGGAGGUCGAGGGCUGGCCAGGAGCACAAAGGAUGCCCCCUCACACCCGCCCACCCAUUUGGAUUCGAUGAGAGAUUAGUCUGAGCUGAAUCAAGCUGCAGGCCCCUGUCCAUUUGGCCAUGGUCAUCUGGACUGUUGGCUGGGCCCCUUCCCUUCAUCUCUGCACGUGUUACUUCCCCUCCCGGAGCCUCUGCUUCCUCAUUUGUGAAUGAUGAUAUCAGUUCCUCCCAGAAGGUGAUUGUAAGACCCCACUUGAGGUCACGUGGGCAGAGGGCUCAAGGCCUUGCUGGUCACAGUGACCAUGACACACCUGAGCUUCCUAAACUCCUAAGUUCCUGGUCCUCCUCUGCCUACCCCUCUGCGUCCUUCUUCCUCUCCUGCCACCACCAAUCUUCCCCCACCGCCACUGUGGCUUCAGGACACUUGUGGUCACACCUGAUGGGAUCCACCCCCACCCCUGCUCACAUAUUGCUAAUUUGGGGCACACACACUGAGGGGCCUGGGUUGAGCUGUGGAAACCAUAAACUCUGACGUCUUCUUGGUUCACUGAGCCUCCGUGGUCAUCCUGGCUUGUGGGCCAGUCAUCGUGCUGCAGCCCCAGCCUGAAUCGGGUGGAGGACGCCCAGCAGCAAAGGAAAGAAGCAGGGAGGGAAGUGGGGAAACCAGCAUCUGUAGGACAUUGGACACCCCAGAUGCUCCUAGGGGUCUCCUGGUCCCCACGCACUGUGGACAGAAGUGGCUAUGAUGGUAAGUUUCCUGUCGUUUUCUCAUCCAUUGAACAAAUGUUCCCAACUGCCCACUGUCUUCUGACUAGGGGCUGGGCACUGGACUCAGAGAUGCAGCAGGUGUGAGUGCUGAACUUGGGAACCCAGUUCAGCCCACGACCUAAGGCUGAGCAGGCCUCACCACCACCCUGUGGGUGCAAAAAGACCACAAGGAGAUGAAUCUGUAGUGCCCCAGCCCCAAGGCUCCUCCUUGCCCCAGAGCCCCAGUCCCCCAUAAGCCCCCCACCUUCCACCCCUAUGAGAGAGUUUUGGUUGGCCCCAAAUGGCAUCUUGGCUGCAUUGGCUUCAGUUGGCCUCUGCCUCCCUGGUGUGCCGCAGUCCUCUCCAGGCCCCGCCAGGCACCUUGGCUGGCCCCUGAGCCCUUGCUCAGCCUUUGCUGUACCGGCCUCUGCUCUGCACAGACCUUGA